GUCUAUUUGGAGAUAUAAAUAGUCUAGUCUGCCCACUGAUAGGUAAUUUAAAGGGCCGCGGUAUAUUGACCGUGCAAAGGUAGCAUAAUCAUUAGUUUUUUAAUUGGAAUCUCGUAUGAACGGCUGGACAAAAGAAAGUCUGUCUCUAUAGGGUUAUUGAAUUUAACUUUUGAGUGAAAAGGCUUAAAUAAAUUAAAAAGACGAUAAGACCCUAUAAAGCUUGACAUUAAUUGGAUAUUACACUGGAUUAUUUGGUUAUAAAGGUGUGUAAUGCAAUUUUUGUUUUAUUGGGGCGAUAGAGGUAAAAUUGUUGGUAACUGCUUAAAUUUUAUGACAGGAUAAGUGAAUAAUUAUUAUAAGAGAUCCCAAGAUAUGGAUUACAAGGUUAAGUUACUUUAGGGAUAACAGCGUAAUUUUUUUUAAGAGUUCUUAUCGAAAAAAAAGUUUGCGACCUCGAUGUUGAAUUAAAAUUUCUUUUCAAUUGCAGCAGUUGGAACAGAAGGUCUGUUCGACCUUUAAAUUUUU
Molecule: ribosomal RNA, 525 nt
Filed under: Metopograpsus thukuhar
Lineage: Eukaryota; Metazoa; Arthropoda; Malacostraca; Decapoda; Grapsidae
Description: partial 16S ribosomal RNA
Rfam family: Bacterial large subunit ribosomal RNA
Source: RNAcentral